This 704-nucleotide ribosomal RNA is filed under the name uncultured bacterium. Its description in RNAcentral is "bacterial SSU rRNA". It matches the Rfam family "Bacterial small subunit ribosomal RNA", at positions 8 to 758 of the family's 1533-position model. The record is from RNAcentral.
AGAGUUUGAUCAUGGCUCAGAACGAACGCUGGCGGCAGGCUUAACACAUGCAAGUCGAACGCAUCCUUCGGGGUGAGUGGCAGACGGGUGAGUAACGCGUGGGAACGUGCCCUUCAGUUCGGGAUAACCCAGGGAAACUUGGGCUAAUACCGGAUACGUGCGAGAGCAGAAAGAUUUAUCGCUGAAGGAUCGGCCCGCGUCUGAUUAGCUGGUUGGUAGGGUAAUGGCCUACCAAGGCGACGAUCAGUAGCUGGUCUGAGAGGAUGAUCAGCCACAUUGGGACUGAGACACGGCCCAAACUCCUACGGGAGGCAGCAGUGGGGAAUAUUGGACAAUGGGCGCAAGCCUGAUCCAGCCAUGCCGCGUGAGUGAUGAAGGCCUUAGGGUUGUAAAGCUCUUUCGUCCGGGACGAUAAUGACGGUACCGGAAGAAGAAGCCCCGGCUAACUUCGUGCCAGCAGCCGCGGUAAUACGAAGGGGGCUAGCGUUGUUCGGAAUCACUGGGCGUAAAGGGCGCGUAGGCGGCUUUGUAAGUCGGGGGUGAAAGCCUGUGGCUCAACCACAGAAUUGCCUUCGAUACUGCAUGGCUUGAGACCGGAAGAGGUAAGUGGAACUGCGAGUGUAGAGGUGAAAUUCGUAGAUAUUCGCAAGAACACCAGUGGCGAAGGCGGCUUACUGGACCGGUUCUGACGCUGAGGCGCGAAA